Molecule: long non-coding RNA, 3202 nt
Organism: Dunckerocampus dactyliophorus (ringed pipefish)
Lineage: Eukaryota; Metazoa; Chordata; Actinopteri; Syngnathiformes; Syngnathidae
Exons: 4
Source: RefSeq, a predicted model, not a curated record
AAGAGGUACUGCAAGACUGACUCACCAUCGCCUCCAGAGGAACAAAGCGGUGUUACAAUAAAACUUCAUCACCCUUGGAUGGACAAAGUGGUAUUACAAGACUUACUCACUAUUGUCCCCAGAGGAACAAAGUGGUAUUACUGCCGAGGGAAAGUGGAUGUGGGAGGAGUGGAAGUGAUAAAUGUAACGCACCUUCACAUUCAGCCCAAGCAAUCAUGGUUUGACCAAUAAUUGUAGCUGAAGCACUUUACUGCUUCUUACAAAUAAUAAGAUGUGAUGGCGGCGGGGAUUCCCCCCCGAGGGCACAUGCCUAGGAUACAUCAACGAGGGCCACUCAAAGUGCCAUUGGAAUGCAGCCUGAGUCAGUGGUGAUGAGUUAGUCUUGUAAUGCCACGUAGUCCCUCUAGGGGCAAUAAUGACUGUCUCGUAAUGCCACAUUGUUCCUGUAGGUGUGAUAAUGAGUCAUAGUGCUGUUAUGCUGAUUGUAAAUGAAUGAUCAAUGAAGCUUAAUUAUCAAACAACUUGAUGAUGAAAUAUUUCAUUGAUAUUUAAUUUUAAUGAAAAACUGUCAAAAAAUAAUUUUUGUUUUAAAAAUAUUUUUCCAAAAAGGGGUCAAUUUGGGUUUAUACGAUAUGUUUUUUGCUAGUAGGCUUUCACCUCAUGUGCCUGAUGUGAGACAGUAGUAGGAGCAGCUGGGCCUGGCGCCUGGCCUGCUGCUGCACUGAGCACCCCGAUUGGCUGAUGUGAUGUAUGAGGGCGUCGGUGAUGGUGUCCAGCAUGCCUUGCACUGCCACGCUGUCAUGGAGCGGCUCCAUGGUACCCGUGCAGAACGCAAAGGCGCCUAUAAAGAGACACGUUUUUAGAAGCGGCAUGUGCGAGCUACGCUCAAAGACAAACAUGAAUAAAAGAUUCAGGGCAGAGGUUCGAUUGCGAGUGCCCACGCAGCAAUCACGAGUUCAUCGGGCUCCAGCAGCUGAGUCGUUCCUGUCAUCUCUGUGGUAUUUUCACUUUGCUGCUCUAUGGAAUAGCUUCAUCUGUGGGACGAGCUCGGCCCUCAGUGCUGUCAUGUCGCCAUGACAACGCUUAUUGGCCUCAUCCGCGGUACGGGCCUUUCGGGACACCGUGUUCGCGUUCAGUGCUAUGUCUCAGUGCACCACAUACAGUACAGGUGCAUCUCAUUAAAUAAAUAGCGUGCAAAAGUAUUUCAUUUCAGGAGUUCAAGUCAGUAAGGGACUAAUUAAAGGCUUGAGAAGUUUUUGCACUUCUUUUGCUGAUUUGAACACCAACCAGUAGAUUAUAAUUUGUCACGUUUGAUGAGAGGCUGACUAUGUUUUUUUUAUAGGAGGAGCUUUGAAAUCUUUCGCUUUGUAUAGUGAAUUUAUAGACUAUAACAGAUCAAGUUGAACGACUGAAAUAAAUAAAGUUUUUAAAGAUGUUCUCAUUUACUGUGAUGCACCUGUCUAUGAGCCACAGCCAAAAAAUAAACAAGUAAAAUGCCACCUUACCGGAGUUGAGCAAGAUGAUUGCUUUGAGGCAGACAAACUCCUCGGGCUUGAGUCUGAGCAUGCGAAACCGAGAGGCGGUGGCCAGCAGCAUGUCAAAGAUCUCAGCCAUGCCUUCAACACAGUCUCCUUCGCUCCUACUCACCACAAGUCAGCAAACAAAGGAACAAUUAGCCAUGCAGAAUGCAUCAUGUAUUAUUUUGCCAACUUUAAGAUGUCUUAUCAAGUACAUUGCACAACACAGCAGCAACGGAACCGAUGUUGUAAUAGCUAUGUUAAUUAAUUGGAUUAAUAGUUAAUUGGAGUUUACAGGAAUCAUUUCUUGUCACGCAAACUUACUCUUAAAGGUUUAAAAAACAGGAUCAACUGAUUGAUUGAUUGUCAAAUUUCCUAUCCUAAAAUAAAUAUAUAUUUUUUAAAAACAACCUAAACAGAGUAUUUCUGUCAACUAAAGGCCGCAAGUGUCCAGAAAAAGAGCUAACGGAGCGAAAGACUAAGUGGUUCAAGUUUUCUGCACAGUAGACAAGUGAGGGAAGAGCAGACAAUAUCUCAGUGGUCAUGGAGCAGCAGCAGCUGAGGGAAUUCAUCGACCGUGACCUGCUGCGUUUUAGUCAUCAUGUCCAAUCUGGGAGGACACUUACAGCGCGGCCCGGUUUUAGAGAUAAUACGGUAAUACACUUUUCCGAUCAAAUGGGACCAUCAGGCACAUUGCAGGCUAAAAGCUUUGUCUGUCUGCCUCGUGCUCAGCUGUCAUCCAGGGUUUUUUUUCAGGUAGAAGUGAGGAUUGGGCGAGGGUGUUUACUCAGAGCACAGGAGAGGCUGGAUGGAAGGAAACAGCCAACCCUCCCUCCAUCUCUAUUUCCUCGUCCUCUUAACUCCUUCCUACCAUCGUUAUUCAUUUUCUAUCAUUCUGUGCAUUGAAGCUUUGAUUACAUCUGUCCUGCUUGCCAGCUCGGCUCAAUGAUGAUGACAAGGGAGGUGGUCCUCUCUUCACUGUGGGAGACGCGUAAUUAGUCUUUCACUCUAUGACAGACGUGUUGGGACGGCACAAUGGCUGCUAAGGUGCGAAAUGGAAAAUCUACAAUGCUGAUGUGUCACUCCUGAGGUCCUGAGCGAAGAUGAGCUUGCCGGGACAGUGGAUUGACCUCCAGAUGAGGCCGAUCAUCAGCACCUCCAACCAGGAGCUCUCGAGCAGCUGCACCUGGUCGUGCAGGGACAGCUGCAGGAAACCUGAGCACAAAGUCAGCAUUUUGAGCACACCGCCAGGAAGUUGUCGCUACCUUGGAUGCUCCUCUUGAAGAAGGCCUUGCAUCCCUCACAGGACCACACCCCGUAGUGGUAGCCGGAGGCGUAGUCGCUGCACACAGCGCAGAAGCGCGUCUCUUUGGCCAUCUCAAACACCCCAGCGGCUGCGGCGGCCUCUGACCCACCAACAACGUAAGACUCUGCGCUGGUGCUGCACUGCUCAUCCCUGGUGACCUGCUGCUGACUGGCCGGCUCGCUGGACCUGGGACAGCUCAAGGUUCCUGACAAAGUGCUUAAUCUGUGGAAUUAGGAAGCAGAGUGGAUCUUGAGGCUCCCUUCAGUGAUAAUGGCCAUGUUUUAACAGAUUAAACAUAAUGUUACAUAAUUAGUGUGUGCGCAUCACUGCAAUGGUAUAUUUUACACAUUUUACACACAUUUUAUCAAAUAAAACAAUG